Long non-coding RNA from Talpa occidentalis (Iberian mole), 3456 nucleotides. RefSeq lists it as uncharacterized. The transcript is spliced from 3 exons. The record is from RefSeq and is a predicted model, not a curated record. Lineage: Eukaryota; Metazoa; Chordata; Mammalia; Eulipotyphla; Talpidae.
CAUCUGGACAGGCUGUUCCCCUUGGAGGGGUGAGCUGUUUGUUGGGAGGAGGAGUUUAACCUUGAGGCGCUCCCCCUCGCUUAGAAGAAACAAAUUUGAGUAGGAGAUUGUGUAUGUUAAGAUUUGAAGAGGAGAAUGAGAAGUACAGCAGCGGCUAAGGGCCCUCGGUCACAGGUGAAGUUGUAACAGGGGGUCCCCAGGAAAGGGGAGGUUCCAGGUUCCCUGCCCCACCCAAGGGAGGGUGGAGCUGAGCAGGGAGAGGAGAAGCUGCAGAGGAGACUGAGAAGGAAGGAAGCAGGAUGGCAGAACCUGUUUAGAGCAGGCAGGGUUGCAGGGUCUGGGCUGCCCCCUCCCUGCCCUGGAGCAAAGUCAUUGGGGCCAGCAGCUGAGUGUAGGCUUAGUCACAAGCUGAGCAGUAGUAGAAUAGCAAGUGUUGGGGUUGGGACAUGAGAGCACAUUGCACCAGGGACGCAGCCCAUUUUUCGAGUGCCCUUAGACUGAAAGAAUGUCGGUGGGAUAUUUGUUCCUCGCAGAGGAGCUGUUCUAAAUCCCCUGUGUCCCUAGUUAGAGCAACACCCACCCUGGGAGCCCUGAAAUGCUGGAGUAAGGCACAAAGCCAGGCACUCAGCAGGAGGGUUGGCUUGCUGUGUGUGCAGAGUCCCAAGGCCAGGGAAAAAUACUAGUUUCUUAGUUUAGUUAGGGACAGUGUUGUGCGACUUAUCACUGGGAGGCUUGUCAGACUCUCAGGAAAGUUGGGUGAGCUUUAAAGUAAAGUUAGAGUGAGGACCGCAGUCCUUCUUUUUAUUUAUUUAUUUUUUAAGGAAUAUUUCUUAUAAUACAAGAAUCGUGGUACAGGCCAGAUGCUUGAGAGGGUGAGAGGAUUCACCAGAGACAGAGUGGGGAACAGAACAGGCAGACUGACUGAAAUACACAGCUGGGAGGAGCAUCAGGGAGGCAGGAGAGGUCUGCUGUGAACAUGGGUAUCUCUCUGUCCGGGGAUCCAACCUGUGCUGCAGUGGCCGAGGAGAGUCCCAUGGCCUGCAUCCCAACCCCUUGCCCCACCAGGGAGGCGCCAUAAAAUGAUUUUUAAAAAUAUUUAUUUAUUUAUGCAUACAAAAGCUGGGGUACAGGCCAGAGAUGCAGGGUGUGAGAGGAUCCACCAGAGAGUGGGAAACAGAACAGCAGACUGACUGAAAUACGCUGCUGAGGGGAGCAGCGGGAGAGACAGGAGAGGUCUGCUGUGCCAUGUGAGUCAGUUCCCCGGCCAGGGAUCAAACUUAUCCUUCAAUGGUUGUCAUAGCUUCAUAGUGCUGUACUGAACCCCUUGUGCCACCAUGGGGCUCCUCACAACUCUCUUUUCACCUUGUGUCCUACGUAGAGUUCUGCUGGUGGCCAUGUAGUAACUGUAUAUUUUGAUUUCAGGAACCCUUGACCUGCAGAGAUGUGCCCAUCGAAUUCUCACACAAGGAGCAGGAGGUCCUGGACCAGCUGCAGUGGAAAUUGUACAGGGACGUGAUGCUAGAGGCCUACAGAAAUGUGGUGUCCUUGGGUCUUGCUGUGUCUACGCCCGAGCUGGUCAUCUUGUUGGAGCAAAAAAAUGGAGCCCUGGGAUGUGAAGAGAAGUGUAGAUUCCGUCCUCCUCCCAGGGUUCCAGAGACCUCUGAAAAUGAUGAGGAAGCUUGCCUCCAUUGGCAGGACUAAAUAACCCGGUUCCCUGAAUAGAAAGCUCUGUCAUAAAGCCUGAACUCUUUUGUCUUUUCGCUGCCAUUAAUGAUGUACACUUCAAACAACCUGGACAGGACACCGAUAAGAUCCCAGUGCGUGCCUACGUUGGAUACCCCUUUGUUAUACUUCUGGGGAAUGCCUCAGCUGCACGCAUUCAAUUGCGUGGGACUUCUUACUCCAUUCAUUGUUCUGGCUGCAUUGUUACUAAUUGUAUUAUCCCCUCUCUUGCUCGUUUGUAUCCUGUUGUAAUCUUACUUAAAAUACCCCCUAUGUUAUGUUACCUGUUGAUUUACAUGAUAUGCCUUGGUAUAAUAAUACUGCCAUGCAAGUUUUAAAUGAAGUACAUGCUCUUCUUCGUCCUAAACGUUUUAUUGCCACCCUUAUUCUAGAAAUUGCUGCUCUAAUUUCCCUGGUUACCUCCUUAGCUACUUCCUCUGUUGCUUUCAUUCAGGAAGCUAAGACAGCUUCUUUUGUAAAUGACCUUACCAAAAAUGAGACCAUGGCACUCUCUGUGCAGUGGGACAUUGACUACAAGUUAGAAAGAAAGAUAAAUGCCCUGGAAGAAAUUGUCAUUGCCAUUGGAGAUGAAGUUCAGCUGCUUAAGCAGCAAUUAUCCACUCACUGCCACGUUCAGUUUCGUUUCAUUUGUGUUACACCUUUGCGUUAUAACUCCUCUCUACAUUGGAAUCUUACUAAACAUCACCUAUUUGGCAUCUGGCAUGACAAUGACCUCUCUCAUGACCUUACAUCUCUUCAGUCUAAAAUCUCUGCUGUCAGUAAAUCUCACCUAGAUACUUCAGUCUCUUCCUUUGCCCAUUCUCUGGCUUCCACUCUCCAAUCUUUAACUCCUACUCACUGGUAUCAUCUUGUUCUCUCCUUCCUUGUUCUUUCCCUACUUGUCCUGCUUCUCUGUUUGUUUGUUCCCUUCUGUGUCCGCUCACUUCACUUCACAUGCAUCCAGUGUGACAUGUAUGCUUACCAACUUCGUUCUAAAAACAAAGGGGGACCUGCUGCACCCCCCCCUGCAGUGACCUUCAGGGCUAAUGGCUGUUGCCAUGGUCCCUGAGGUCCGGCGUGGGCAAGGAACCAUGCGCGCAGGGGGAGAACAGCAAACUCCCUAAGAUGCAGAGAAGCCGAAUGCCUGCCAAGAGAUAACGACCACCAGAAGCCGCCACAAAGAUGGUUAAAAGAAAUGCUGACCACCUGGAACCUUAUCUCGCUUUCUCAAGGCCCACAAACUUUAUUCUGCUACAACUGUCUUUCUAAAAUCUUUCCUUUUUCUGGUCAUUGAUUGCUAAUUAAAAAACAUACGUAAUUUAAUAAUUAGGCUAAUGCAAAUGAAACAUUACUAAACACUGUGUUAUAAUAGAAUUGUUGGUUUAAUAAUCUUUCUAUUAUGUGCUUAACCUUAGUACCUUUGAUAUUAACUGCAUUAUAAUAUAAAUUUACCUAUGACAAUUAAUUAUGAGUAAACAUAAGUAAGUAAUAGUAGUAGUAAUUAGUACAAAAAUAUAGAGUUAAUAACCUGUCCAAUUAGGAAUAAGGCUAGGUCCAGGUGUAACUUCGGACAUAAGUCACUGCCCUGUCAAUUAAGCUAAGCCUAUGAGCAAACUGAUCUCUUUGAUGUUCACUGUUCCUAUGCCUUUAGAAAAAACAUAUAUAUACUGACCACUAACUUAAUAAAAGCGCACUCAGAUUUAUACUCUCUCUUGAAGUGUGUCUGUUUGUCAU